RNAcentral lists this ribosomal RNA (432 nucleotides) under uncultured bacterium. RNAcentral's name for it is "bacterial SSU rRNA". It matches the Rfam family "Bacterial small subunit ribosomal RNA", at positions 29 to 507 of the family's 1533-position model. The record is from RNAcentral.
AACGAACGCUGGCGGCAGGCCUAACACAUGCAAGUCGAACGCUGUAGCAAUACAGAGUGGCAGACGGGUGAGUAACACGUGGGAACCUACCUAUUGGUACGGAAUAGCUCAGGGAAACUUGAGGUAAUACCGUAUACGCCCUUACGGGGAAAGAUUGAUCGCCGAUAGAUGGGCCCGCGUCUGAUUAGCUAGUUGGUGAGGUAAUGGCUCACCAAGGCGACGAUCAGUAGCUGGUUUGAGAGAAUGACCAGCCACACUGGGACUGAGACACGGCCCAGACUCCUACGGGAGGCAGCAGUGGGGAAUCUUGGACAAUGGGCGCAAGCCUGAUCCAGCCAUGCCGCGUGAGUGACGAAGGCCUUAGGGUUGUAAAGCUCUUUUGGCGGGGACGAUAAUGACGGUACCCGCAGAAUAAGCCCGGCUAACUUCGUG